Molecule: long non-coding RNA, 212 nt
Filed under: Eucalyptus grandis
Lineage: Eukaryota; Viridiplantae; Streptophyta; Magnoliopsida; Myrtales; Myrtaceae
Description: long non-coding RNA (EGRA_LNC007214)
Source: RNAcentral
ACCUUAAUUUGGGAUAAAACUCCUAAUGUCUACAAGGUCUACAAAUAUUAACAUACAAUACUACAAUUCAAAUAAUGAAACUUAAAAAUAAGCUAACAUAACAUGAAAUAAGUAAAUAAAAAAUAAAAUAAAAAUAAACUACCUAAGGCCCUGCAACAGAAACAGGGGAGGCAACAGGUGGGUCGGGAGCACAGCAGCAGGCUCGGAUCAGG